Molecule: non-coding RNA, 2670 nt
Organism: Physeter macrocephalus (sperm whale)
Lineage: Eukaryota; Metazoa; Chordata; Mammalia; Artiodactyla; Physeteridae
Source: the annotation of a RefSeq genome assembly
AUGGCAAAGCAGCUCAGGGACCUGAAGGCUGACCCACGGCUGCAGGUAGCAGGGGUCCGGUGGGUGGAAGUCUCCGUCCACGGCCCAUCCGUCUACUCCUUGAGCUCCUGUUGCACAAGUGCUACCAAUGCCACCUCUGUGACGCUGGGCUGCCUGGUCACGGGCUACUUCCCGGGGCCGGUGACCAUUACCUGGGACACAGCGUCCCUGAACAGGAGCACCCUGGCCAUCCCCGCCGUCCAGAACUUGAACUCCAGCCUCUACACCACCAGCAGCCAGGUGAUAGUCUCGGGCGAGUGGUCCAAGCAGAAUUUCACCUGCAGCGUGGCUCACGCUGCGUCCAACACCACCACCACCAAGGCCGUCGCUGGGUGCACCAAGAGCUUCCCCGACCCCUCCGUGAAGCUCUUUUACUCCUCCUGCGACCCCCGUGGUGACACCCACACCACCAUCCAGCUCCUGUGCCGCAUCUCUGGCUACACCCCAGGCAGAAUCAAGGUCACCUGGUUGGUGGACGGGCAUGAGGCCCCAGACGUGUUCCCGCACACCGGCCCCGAAAGGGUGGAGGGCAAACUGGCCUCCACCUACAGCGAGCUCAACAUCACGCAGGGCCAGUGGGUGUCCCAAAUCACCUACACCUGCCGGGUCACCUAUUACGGCCUCACCUACGACAACCACGCCCGCAGGUGCACAGCCGAGUCCGAGCCCCGCGGCGUGAGCGCCUACCUGAGCCCACCCACGCCCCUCGACCUGUACGUCAGCAAGUCACCCAAGCUCACCUGCCUGGUGGUGGACCUGGCCAGCGCAGAGGACAUGACACUGACCUGGUCCAGGGAGAACGAGAAUCUAGCGUACUCAGACCCGCUCGUCAUCGAGACUCAGUUCAACGGGACAGUCACCGUCGCGUCCACCGUGCCGGUGGACGUCAGUGACUGGACUGAGGGCAAGACCUACUCCUGCAAAGUGAACCACCCGCACCUACCCAAGGAGAUCCUGCGCUCCAUCUCCAAGAGUCCUGGCCAGCGUAUGAUUCCCGAGGUUUACGUGUUCCCGCCACCCAGGGAGGAGCUCCAGACCAAGGGCGAGGUCACCCUCACCUGCCUGAUCCAGAACUUCUUCCCCGCGGACAUCUCCGUGCGGUGGCUGCGGAACGGCGCCCUGGUGCAGGCGGACCAGCACAGCAGCACGAGGCCCCACAAGGUCCGCGGCUCCAUCUCCGCCUACUUCAUCUACAGCCGCCUGGUGGUCACGCAGGCCGACUGGCGGCAGAAGAGCAAGUUCACCUGCCAAGUGGUCCACGAGGCCCUGUCCGGCUCAAGGACCCUCGAGAGAUCGACGUCCAUUGACCUUGAGCUGGCCCUGGAGGACCCGUGCGCAGAGGAGGCCGAGAGCGACGGGCCGGAGGGGACGUGGACCGGCCUCCUCACCUUCGCGGUGCUCUUCCUGCUCAGCGUGAGCUACGGCGGGGCCGUCACCCUCUGCAAGGUGAAGUGGGUCCUGGCUGCCGUCCUGCAGGAGCGGCCGCGGGCUUCCCGCGACUACACGAACGUGGCGCGGCCCCGCCUUCUCCCUCCUCGUGGGAGCAUCCCCGAGGCUGCCAGCUCCACCCUGGGCCAGAGGAAGGAGCACACCAGCCCCCAAGGGGCCCGAGUCAGGGGCCCAGCGACCAGCACAUGGGCGCCGAGGGGCCCCAGCUCAGCCCCAAGGUCGAAGGCAACGGGGGGCCCACCUUUCACAGCCCCACACCGCCCCACUUUGCGGCAAGUCCCAGAAGAGCAUCUGCUGCCUCCACAGAGAGACCUGGGCUGGCCGUGGGUGCCGGCCGCCCCGGGCUUCUCCCAGGCCCCUGGGCUUGGGCCCACACCGGUGCUGACUGCACUGCCCCUGAAACACAGUGGCGGCCCGCAGCCCGUGGCCCAGCCCACGCUGCAGCCCAGAGCCGCGUCUAGGACUCCGAGUCGCAGCCAGCCCGAUCCAGCGUCUGCGUCCAGCCCAACCAAGCCAAGGGCUCGCUCCCCAGGCUCCGCCCCGCCCUCCGCGCCCCCAGGCCCAAGUAAAAGCAACAGUCCCACUCCCCCUGGGCAAACCCUGAGGGGCUCAUUCAGUGGUCAGUGCAGGAGGCCGCAGGAACACAGCUGCACAAGCACCAGGGUGGAGGCCGGCAUCAGCCUCCUGGGGCCCCAGUCACCACCCAGCCGUCCACCCACUGAGCUCACGCAGACAGGCCAGUCCUCAGGCCCCAUCCCGCCAGCCAGCCCGGACGUCCUGAUGAGCAAGCGAGAGCUGUCUGGGGCUGGCCGCCACCGUCCUCGAGAAGAAAGCUGGGAGCCACACAGGCACUGCCCCAACACUCACCCCGAGUCUCACGCCUCCAGCUCCCUCGGGGCGGCUCCAGGGGACCCUGGGGCUUCAGACCCCCGGAAGGUGCAGGGCCCCAGGACCUCACGGGCCGGCAAGAGGAAGGGUGCUCAGGGCCAGUCAACCACGAUGCAGGCGCCGCCUGCUCGUGAGAGCGGCGGGCGUGGGGUGGACCAGAGUCCGGCAGCCCGGGAGGAAGUGCCCCUCGUGGGCCGUGCUCUGGGUGUGCCAGGGUCCGUGAUCAAACCCCAGAAGUCCCUCGACCAAGCCAGCUCUCCCCGCAAUGGUGUCCAUCCCGGGAGCGGACCAUAG